Molecule: long non-coding RNA, 999 nt
Organism: Brassica oleracea var. oleracea
Lineage: Eukaryota; Viridiplantae; Streptophyta; Magnoliopsida; Brassicales; Brassicaceae
Exons: 2
Source: RefSeq, a predicted model, not a curated record
AAAAAAAAAUGCAAAUCACAACUCGAAUAUACUGACUACUACCAAUUCAGCUGACACAUCAUCGUAUCUAAAGUGGGUUUUGGUUUAAUUUCAAUUCUGUUUUUAUUGCAGAUCUUAAAUCAAGGAAUCGGGGAGGGUUGAUUCUUCGACAACUGCUUCCUCCAAUCAUGUUAGAGGCACCGAGUUAUCUGGUCUCAAGAGACUUACCAUUAGAGAGUCCAUCUGUAACUAGGCUUUAACAAAGAGGCACUUCUCAACUGCUUUGCUCACUGUUCCUUAUCUGACUUCCCCUCCAUCGCCUCGACGAACAGAGCCUUCCGCUCGCUUAUCAAGGACAAGGGUCUGUAUAGGCUGAGACGAGCAAACGGUAUCGUGGAGCAUGGGAAGCUUAUGAUCCAAACGGAGACCGUUGGCUACGUGUACCCAAAAUGACAUUCAACGAAUGCUUCAGCUGUUCGGAUAAAGAGUCUCUUGCCGUUGGUACAGAGCUUCUUUUGUUCGGUAAAGAAGUUAUGUCCCAUGUGAUUUACAAGUAUAGCGUCUUGACCCAUGCGUGGACGUCUAAUGAAUACUCCGAGGUGCUUGGUGAGGUCGCGGUUGUAGCUCGAGGGUGUGACCCGCGUGGGAAGAUAUUGAACUCAGCUGAGAUUUAUAGCUUGGAGAGUGGGGAGUGGACGGUGAUACCGAGCAUGAACAAGGCGAGGAAGAUGUGUUCAUGGACGGGAGCUUCUAUGUUGUUGGAGAGGGAAACUCGUAGAUGCUUAUGUGUGGUUAUGGGAUGUUGAGGAACUUGAGCGGAAAGUUAUUAACUUGUUUAUUAGGGUUCUUACAUGGUAUAUCCUUCAUUGUCUUUUGUGGGAUUGUUGUUGUUCAGGCAUAACCUGGUGGAACUGGACAAGUUUCAAUAAACUUGAAGAAGAUGUAAUAACAAAACUCACGUUUUCUAAUCUCAUAACAUUGUAAUUUGAUUCCAUUAUUAGCAUUUCUUUUUACACAGCA